AACGGCCGUACCAUGCUGAAUAUACCAGUUGUCGUUUAGAUCACCGAAGUUAAGCAUCAUUGGGCGCGGUCAGUACUUGGGUGGGUGACCACCUGGGAACACUGCGUGCCGUU
RNAcentral lists this ribosomal RNA (113 nucleotides) under Caerostris darwini. The record is from RNAcentral. Lineage: Eukaryota; Metazoa; Arthropoda; Arachnida; Araneae; Araneidae.